This 476-nucleotide ribosomal RNA is filed under the name uncultured bacterium. RNAcentral's name for it is "bacterial SSU rRNA". It matches the Rfam family "Bacterial small subunit ribosomal RNA", at positions 28 to 507 of the family's 1533-position model. The record is from RNAcentral.
GACGAACGCUGGCGGCGUGCUUAACACAUGCAAGUCGAACGGAGUUAUGUUAAGGAAGUUUUCGGAUGGAAUUGAUAUAACUUAGUGGCGGACGGGUGAGUAACGCGUGAGGAACCUGGUUCAUACAGGGGGAUAACAUAGGGAAAGGGAUGCUAAUACCGCAUAACAUAUAUUUGGGGCAUCUCAGAUAUAUCAAAGAUUUAUCGCCUGAAGAUGGACUCGCGUCUGAUUAGAUAGUUGGUGGGGUAACGGCCUACCAAGUCGACGAUCAGUAGCCGAACUGAGAGGUUGAUCGGCCACAUUGGGACUGAGACACGGCCCAGACUCCUACGGGAGGCAGCAGUGGGGGAUAUUGCGCAAUGGGGGCAACCCUGACGCAGCAACGCCGCGUGAAGGAAGAAGGUUUUCGGAUCGUAAACUUCUUAAGUGGGAAGAUAGUGACGGUACCCACAGAAUAAGCCACGGCUAACUACGUG